UAAUGAGAGAGGUCCUGCUUUCAAGAUCUUGCUUGUCAUGAGUGUUUCUAUCCUGACUUCUUGUUGCUCUUAUGGCCUACCAUGGUUUGCAGGGUGCAUUCCAUGUCCUGUAGGCUUGGAGGAAAAGUGCCCAACUAUAGGUCGCUCUGGAAACUACAAAAAUUUCCAGUGUCCAGCAGGGCAUUACAAUGAUCUUGCAUCACUCUUUCUGAACACCAAUGAUGAUGCCAUCCGCAAUUUGUUUAGUUCAAAUAAUUCAAAUGAAUUUCACAUCUCUACACUUCUAAUCUUCUUUGCUGGGGUAUAUUGCCUUGGCAUUAUUACCUAUGGA
RNAcentral lists this unclassified non-coding RNA (331 nucleotides) under Hevea brasiliensis (rubber tree). The record is from RNAcentral. Lineage: Eukaryota; Viridiplantae; Streptophyta; Magnoliopsida; Malpighiales; Euphorbiaceae.